This 1372-nucleotide ribosomal RNA is filed under the name uncultured bacterium. Its description in RNAcentral is "bacterial SSU rRNA". It matches the Rfam family "Bacterial small subunit ribosomal RNA", at positions 28 to 1381 of the family's 1533-position model. The record is from RNAcentral.
GAUGAACGCUGGCGGCGUGCCUAAUACAUGCAAGUCGAGCGAACGGACGAGAAGCUUGCUUCUCUGAUGUUAGCGGCGGACGGGUGAGUAACACGUGGAUAACCUACCUAUAAGACUGGGAUAACUUCGGGAAACCGGAGCUAAUACCGGAUAAUAUUUUGAACCGCAUGGUUCAAAAGUGAAAGACGGUCUUGCUGUCACUUAUAGAUGGAUCCGCGCUGCAUUAGCUAGUUGGUAAGGUAACGGCUUACCAAGGCAACGAUGCAUAGCCGACCUGAGAGGGUGAUCGGCCACACUGGAACUGAGACACGGUCCAGACUCCUACGGGAGGCAGCAGUAGGGAAUCUUCCGCAAUGGGCGAAAGCCUGACGGAGCAACGCCGCGUGAGUGAUGAAGGUCUUCGGAUCGUAAAACUCUGUUAUUAGGGAAGAACAUAUGUGUAAGUAACUGUGCACAUCUUGACGGUACCUAAUCAGAAAGCCACGGCUAACUACGUGCCAGCAGCCGCGGUAAUACGUAGGUGGCAAGCGUUAUCCGGAAUUAUUGGGCGUAAAGCGCGCGUAGGCGGUUUUUUAAGUCUGAUGUGAAAGCCCACGGCUCAACCGUGGAGGGUCAUUGGAAACUGGAAAACUUGAGUGCAGAAGAGGAAAGUGGAAUUCCAUGUGUAGCGGUGAAAUGCGCAGAGAUAUGGAGGAACACCAGUGGCGAAGGCGACUUUCUGGUCUGUAACUGACGCUGAUGUGCGAAAGCGUGGGGAUCAAACAGGAUUAGAUACCCUGGUAGUCCACGCCGUAAACGAUGAGUGCUAAGUGUUAGGGGGUUUCCGCCCUUUAGUGCUGCAGCUAACGCAUUAAGCACUCCGCCUGGGGAGUACGACCGCAAGGUUGAAACUCAAAGGAAUUGACGGGGACCCGCACAAGCGGUGGAGCAUGUGGUUUAAUUCGAAGCAACGCGAAGAACCUUACCAAAUCUUGACAUCCUUUGACAACUCUAGAGAUAGAGCUUUCCCCUUCGGGGGACAAAGUGACAGGUGGUGCAUGGUUGUCGUCAGCUCGUGUCGUGAGAUGUUGGGUUAAGUCCCGCAACGAGCGCAACCCUUAAGCUUAGUUGCCAUCAUUAAGUUGGGCACUCUAAGUUGACUGCCGGUGACAAACCGGAGGAAGGUGGGGAUGACGUCAAAUCAUCAUGCCCCUUAUGAUCUGGGCUACACACGUGCUACAAUGGACAAUACAAAGGGCAGCGAAACCGCGAGGUCAAGCAAAUCCCAUAAAGUUGUUCUCAGUUCGGAUUGUAGUCUGCAACUCGACUACAUGAAGCUGGAAUCGCUAGUAAUCGUAGAUCAGCAUGCUACGGUGAAUACGUUCCCGGGUCU